CCUAACACAUGCAAGUCGAGCGGAAACGAGUUAUCUGAACCUUCGGGGAACGAUAACGGCGUCGAGCGGCGGACGGGUGAGUAAUGCCUAGGAAAUUGCCUUGAUGUGGGGGAUAACCAUUGGAAACGAUGGCUAAUACCGCAUAAUGCCUACGGGCCAAAGAGGGGGAUCUUCGGGCCUCUCGCGUCAAGAUAUGCCUAGGUGGGAUUAGCUAGUUGGUGAGGUAAUGGCUCACCAAGGCGACGAUCCCUAGCUGGUCUGAGAGGAUGAUCAGCCACACUGGAACUGAGACACGGUCCAGACUCCUACGGGAGGCAGCAGUGGGGAAUAUUGCACAAUGGGCGCAAGCCUGAUGCAGCCAUGCCGCGUGUAUGAAGAAGGCCUUCGGGUUGUAAAGUACUUUCAGCAGUGAGGAAGGGGGUGUCGUUAAUAGCGGCAUCUCUUGACGUUAGCUGCAGAAGAAGCACCGGCUAACUCCGUGCCAGCAGCCGCGGUAAUACGGAGGGUGCGAGCGU
RNAcentral lists this ribosomal RNA (515 nucleotides) under uncultured bacterium. Its description in RNAcentral is "bacterial SSU rRNA". It matches the Rfam family "Bacterial small subunit ribosomal RNA", at positions 47 to 541 of the family's 1533-position model. The record is from RNAcentral.